This 376-nucleotide ribosomal RNA is filed under the name uncultured bacterium. RNAcentral describes it as "partial 16S ribosomal RNA". It matches the Rfam family "Bacterial small subunit ribosomal RNA", at positions 338 to 710 of the family's 1533-position model. The record is from RNAcentral.
CCUACGGGUGGCAGCAGUGAGGAAUAUUGGUCAAUGGGCGAGAGCCUGAACCAGCCAAGUCGCGUGAAGGAUGACGGCCCUACGGGUUGUAAACUUCUUUUGUCAGGGAGCAAUUGGGUCCACGCGUGGGCUUAGCGAGAGUACCUGCAGAAAAAGCAUCGGCUAACUCCGUGCCAGCAGCCGCGGUAAUACGUAGGGGGCGAGCGUUGUCCGGAUUGACUGGGCGUAAAGGGAGUGUAGGCGGCAUAUUAAGUUAUGUGUGAAAGCCCGCGGCUCAACCGCGGAAUUGCACAUAAAACUGGUAGGCUGGAGAACAGGAGAGGUAAGUGGAAUUCGUGGUGUAGCGGUGGAAUGCGUAGAUAUCGGGAGGAACACC